Molecule: ribosomal RNA, 31 nt
Filed under: uncultured fungus
Lineage: Eukaryota; Fungi
Description: partial 5.8S ribosomal RNA
Source: RNAcentral
CAACUUUUAACAACGGAUCUCUUGGUAUCUC